GUAAAGAGUCAAUGCUGAAUUACUGUCUAUUUGCAUUGAACCACUCAGUAUGUAGGUGGUUAAACUUCCAUGUUGCUUAUAAUCACCUCAAGCAAUUUUACCUUAUACCUCUUUUUUCACAGAUCUUAUGGAGGGAACUAUGACAUCCAAGACUGGGCAUUUUUUCCUGCAUAUAAGGGAACACAUUCUUGCCAAAAAGUGGAAUUACAGGCAUUUCACAGGAUGACUGUCCAUUUCUUCUGAGGCUUUGGAAUGAGAAGUGAGAUAGGAGAUGCUCACCAGUCUGCUUGUAGUGAGGGCAAGAGGAGCCUUGGUUUGCAGCCCUCGCAGAUACCCACAGUGUAAGGACUCCCAUCGUGGCUGACAUCAAGCUACCACGUGGUGUCACUGAACACAGAGUUGGUAAGUGAUGUACACAUCAGCAGUCAUGAGCCUUUGGGAACUGACUCCCCUGCACCACUGAAUUCUGUCUCUGUACAAAUCAC
RNAcentral lists this long non-coding RNA (485 nucleotides) under Chinchilla lanigera (long-tailed chinchilla). RNAcentral's name for it is "lncRNA (ENSCLAG00000028627.1)". The record is from RNAcentral. Lineage: Eukaryota; Metazoa; Chordata; Mammalia; Rodentia; Chinchillidae.